GAUGAACGCUGGCGGCGUGCCUAAUACAUGCAAGUCGAGCGAACGGACGAGAAGCUUGCUUUUCUGAUGUUAGCGGCGGACGGGUGAGUAACGCGUGGAUAACCUACCUAUAAGACUGGGAUAACUUCGGGAAACCGGAGCUAAUACCGGAUAAUAUUUUGAACCGCAUGGUUCAAAAGUGAAAGACGGUCUUGCUGUCACUUAUAGAUGGAUCCGCGCUGCAUUAGCUAGUUGGUAAGGUAACGGCUUACCAAGGCAACGAUGCAUAGCCGACCUGAGAGGGUGAUCGGCCACACUGGAACUGAGACACGGUCCAGACUCUUACGGGAGGCAGCAGUAGGGAAUCUUCCGCAAUGGGCGAAAGCCUGACAGAGCAACGCCGCGUGAGUGAUGAAGGUCUUCGGAUCGUAAAACUCUGUUAUUAGGGAAGAACAUAUGUGUAAGUAACUGUGCACAUCUUGACGGUACCUAAUCAGAAAGCCACGGCUAACUACGUG
RNAcentral lists this ribosomal RNA (497 nucleotides) under uncultured bacterium. Its description in RNAcentral is "partial 16S ribosomal RNA". It matches the Rfam family "Bacterial small subunit ribosomal RNA", at positions 28 to 507 of the family's 1533-position model. The record is from RNAcentral.